UACCACUUGCUCUUUUGCUCA
Molecule: non-coding RNA, 21 nt
Filed under: Caenorhabditis elegans
Lineage: Eukaryota; Metazoa; Nematoda; Chromadorea; Rhabditida; Rhabditidae
Source: RNAcentral